CCUACAGAUUUCACAUUAAAGUAUCCAAAAUUCUUCAAUAACUGUUCACUAUAGUGGGAUUGGCUCAUAAUAAUUUUUUUUUGAUUUUUCAAUGAUCUUGAUGUUGAGAAUAACAUUUGCUUGUCCAAGAUUUUUUAUAUUAAAAUUUUUAUUUAGUAAAUUCUUCACAUCAUAUAUCACAUUCAUAUUCGUAUCAAAAAUUAAAAUAUCAUCAACAUACAAACAUAACAUCACUAUAUGUUGAUCAUAUUUAUUCGAAUACACAGAUUCAUCAGACAUGUUCACAUGAAAACCAUUUGAUACAACUAUAGA
RNAcentral lists this long non-coding RNA (312 nucleotides) under Ananas comosus (pineapple). RNAcentral describes it as "long non-coding RNA (ACOM_LNC037323)". The record is from RNAcentral. Lineage: Eukaryota; Viridiplantae; Streptophyta; Magnoliopsida; Poales; Bromeliaceae.